AUCUGCUGCGGUGCUGUGCUCCCAUCCCCAGUAUCUGCUGUCGAUUUUUGUGAGCCACCUGUGGGUGGCUGAUGCGGCAGAGUCCUUGUCCCAGCCCUGGCAGUAAGGAAAUCAGCUCUCUGCUCAGUUUUCCCAGGAAAAAAAAUGUGAUGGUUGGGAGGCCAGGUCCCAACUGAAGACCCAGUUAGGAGGGAAGAGCCGAUGCGCAGGUACUUCUCACAGAUGGCCACUGGCAGUCAGCAACAAGACAAACCGUGUUCGGCUCCUGACCAAGUCCAUGCUUGUCUGUGCUGCAAUUAGAGUGGAGCAAUACAUGUUGCACAUAGUACGGUCCAAAUUUCUCAUGGAGAUGAGUGUUGUGGAGCUGGGCAAAGCUCAGGAGCUGUCCUCAGCCUGGUGGUAAUUGUAAGGUCUUUCUGCAAGCUUGAAUGCUGGGAAGCUGCGAAGCUGGGAGCUGGCUCCUAAUAUCCUCAUAGGUUGCUUUACACCUGGACACAGCAGACUACAGAAGGAUGGAGUAGUCUCAGGCUUUGGUAAAUAAAAUAA
Molecule: long non-coding RNA, 546 nt
Organism: Oxyura jamaicensis (ruddy duck)
Lineage: Eukaryota; Metazoa; Chordata; Aves; Anseriformes; Anatidae
Exons: 2
Source: RefSeq, a predicted model, not a curated record